RNAcentral lists this ribosomal RNA (449 nucleotides) under uncultured bacterium. RNAcentral's name for it is "partial 16S ribosomal RNA". It matches the Rfam family "Bacterial small subunit ribosomal RNA", at positions 29 to 523 of the family's 1533-position model. The record is from RNAcentral.
AGCGAACGCUGGCGGCAGGCCUAACAUAUGCAAGUCGAACGAAGUCUUCGGACUUAGUGGCGGACGGGUGAGUAACACGUGGGAACGUACCUUUUGGUUCGGAACAACUCAGGGAAACUUGAGCUAAUACCGAAUGUGCCCUUAGGGGGAAAGAUUUAUCGCCAUUAGAGCGGCCCGCGUUAGAUUCGCUAGUUGGUGGGGUAAAGGCCCACCAAGGCUACGAUCUAUAGCUGGUCUGAGAGGAUGAUCAGCCACACUGGGACUGAGACACGGCCCAGACUCCUACGGGAGGCAGCAGUGGGGAAUCUUGCGUAAUGGGCGAAAGCCUGACGCAGCCAUGCCGCGUGAAUGAUGAAGGUCUUAGGAUUGUAAAAUUCUUUCAGUAGGGACGAUAAUGACGGUACCUACAGAAGAAGCCCCGGCUAACUUCGUGCCAGCCGCCGCAGUAA